AUGUUGGUAUCGUAAGGGUUAAUUUUUUAAAAAGAGUUUCGCGCAGCGGAUUAAAAACUCAGAGAGCGUACAGCGUAACAAGUCACAGUUGAAACAAUUUUGCCUUUUUUAAGUCAAACAAUUUUCUUUCAGAAAAUUUACCAAGCAGAUAACGUGCGUUAAUAAUAAAAUGAGUAUAGGGCAGAAGAAAAUCACACAGGGAUUUUUAUACUGGUUCGAUUCAACAGAAUCUACGUCCAGUCGUUAAUCACUACAAAGAGUGAUUAACAGUUCCACUAAAAAUUGUUU
RNAcentral lists this long non-coding RNA (288 nucleotides) under Vigna radiata. RNAcentral's name for it is "long non-coding RNA (VRAD_LNC014879)". The record is from RNAcentral. Lineage: Eukaryota; Viridiplantae; Streptophyta; Magnoliopsida; Fabales; Fabaceae.